This 498-nucleotide ribosomal RNA is filed under the name uncultured bacterium. Its description in RNAcentral is "partial 16S ribosomal RNA". It matches the Rfam family "Bacterial small subunit ribosomal RNA", at positions 30 to 523 of the family's 1533-position model. The record is from RNAcentral.
AUUGAACGCUGGCGGCAUGCCUUACACAUGCAAGUCGAACGGUAACAGGUCUUCGGAUGCUGACGAGUGGCGAACGGGUGAGUAAUACAUCGGAACGUGCCUAGUAGUGGGGGAUAACUACUCGAAAGAGUGGCUAAUACCGCAUGAGAUCCACGGAUGAAAGCAGGGGAUCGCAAGACCUUGUGCUACUAGAGCGGCCGAUGGCAGAUUAGGUAGUUGGUGGGAUAAAAGCUUACCAAGCCGACGAUCUGUAGCUGGUCUGAGAGGACGAUCAGCCCCACUGGGGCUGAGACAAGGCCCAGCCUCCUACGGUAGGCAGCAGUGGGGAAUUCUGGACAAUGGGCGAAAGCCUGAUCCCGCAAUGCCGCGUGCCGGAUGAAGGCCUUCGGGUUGUAAACUGCUUUUGUACGGAACGAAAAGCCCCGGGUUAAUACCCUGGGGUCAUGACGGUACCGUAAGAAUAAGCACCGGCUAACUACGUGCCAGCCGCCGCAGUAA